AUUGAACGCUGGCGGCAUGCUUUACACAUGCAAGUCGGACGAGUGGCGAACGGGUGAGUAACAUAUCGGAACGUACCGAGUAAUGGGGGAUAACUAAUCGAAAGAUUAGCUAAUACCGCAUAUUAUUCGAGCGGCCGAUAUCUGAUUAGCUGGUUGGUGGGGUAAAGGCCUACCAAGGCGACGAUCAGUAGCGGGUCUGAGAGGAUGAUCCGCAACACUAGGAGUGAGACACGCCCCAGACUCCAACGGGAGGAAGCAGUGGUGAAUUUUGGCCAAAGGGCGCAAGCCUGAUCCAGCCAUGCUGGGUGUCAGAAGAAGGACUUCGGGUUGUAAAGGACUUUUGUCAGGGAAGCGGUACCUGGAGAAUAAGCACCGGGUAACUACGUGCCAGCCGCCGAGGUAAUA
Molecule: ribosomal RNA, 405 nt
Filed under: uncultured bacterium
Lineage: Bacteria
Description: partial 16S ribosomal RNA
Rfam family: Bacterial small subunit ribosomal RNA
Source: RNAcentral